Molecule: ribosomal RNA, 497 nt
Filed under: uncultured bacterium
Lineage: Bacteria
Description: partial 16S ribosomal RNA
Rfam family: Bacterial small subunit ribosomal RNA
Source: RNAcentral
GAUGAACGCUGGCGGCGUGCCUAAUACAUGCAAGUCGAGCGAACAGACGAGGAGCUUGCUCCUCUGACGUUAGCGGCGGACGGGUGAGUAACACGUGGAUAACCUACCUAUAAGACUGGGAUAACUUCAGGAAACCGGAGCUAAUACCGGAUAAUAUAUUGAACCGCAUGGUUCAAUAGUGAAAGACGGUUUUGCUGUCACUUAUAGAUGGAUCCGCGCCGCAUUAGCUAGUUGGUAAGGUAACAGCUUACCAAGGCAACGAUGCGUAGCCGACCUGAGAGGGUGAUCGGCCACACUGGAACUGAGACACGGUCCAGACUCCUACGGGAGGCAGCAGUAGGGAAUCUUCCGCAAUGGGCGAAAGCCUGACGGAGCAACGCCGCGUGAGUGAUGAAGGUCUUCGGAUCGUAAAACUCUGUUAUUAGGGAAGAACAAAUGUGUAAGUAACUAUGCACGUCUUGACGGUACCUAAUCAGAAAGCCACGGCUAACUACGUG